GCUCUUUCAGAACCACUGGCCUGUGAGGCCUCCCCUAGACUGCAAGGCCCUUCAGGACAAGAUUGUGCCUUAAUCAUGUUGGCAUCCUAGCAUGGCCUGGCUUGUCACAAGAACUCGCUGCAAGCUAAUAGCCUGUCAGGAGUAUGGAAAUAUAUAUCUGAGGUUUGUGAUUCUGCAUGGGAUCAGGAUUUCCAGGAGUGCCUGUUGGAGAACACUCUGCUCUGUGCUUCUCAUGUCUUAAUGUUGGUUCUUAAUGUUAAUUCAAACCAGCUGUGGCAGACCCAGUUGUUCCUAGAAGUUGCUAUCUCUGUCUUUCACAUUCUGCAAUUUUAUAUGCACAUACAUUCUAUGAAACUUCAUGAAAUUUCUAUGAUAUUUGUGUUUCGGAGAAUGCUCCUUAUAACUCUGAUUUCAUGCAAAAAGUUACUGCCACAUAAAUGGGGAGGUGAUAUCAAUUAUGCAGUACUGGAUUCAAACAUCAACUCUGUUACUUACUAGUUGGGUGAGCCUGGAAAAAUCUCUUAACUUUUAUGUCCUUCGCUUUCUUGAUCUGCAAAAUGAAGAUGCAAAUGAUCUUGGUUUGGAGUCUUCUAGUGGUCUACAGUAUAUGGAUGCAACACUUUUAGGGUCUGCUCCAGUUACAGUACCAGGUUAUAAGGAUUGUACCAUCUUGUUUUAAAAAUGAUAUGAAGUUAAACUCUGAAGCACUUAGAACAGGUCUAGCACAUAAUAAACUUUUCGUAUGUAUUAGUUACUACGAUUACCAUAAAAAUCUCAAGAAAAUAUUAAUUCUCUGCUUCGGAUAUUGGACAGAACUCUAAUUAAAUCUGAUAUAUGCCUACCGUGGGAAGCUCACUUUUUUUCUGCAUUGCUAGAGCAAUAAAUACAAUCAAAUGUUAAAAAAA
Homo sapiens (human) is the source of this 905-nucleotide long non-coding RNA. NCBI's taxonomy places the organism in Eukaryota, Metazoa, Chordata, Mammalia, Primates, Hominidae. The record is from Ensembl.